Molecule: long non-coding RNA, 870 nt
Filed under: Capra hircus (goat)
Lineage: Eukaryota; Metazoa; Chordata; Mammalia; Artiodactyla; Bovidae
Description: lncRNA (ENSCHIG00010029162.1)
Source: RNAcentral
AUGUCUCUUUUAUUGGAUAAUUCUGCAAAUAUAUUUUUGGAAAAAUAUUCUCACACUCACAAUCAAAUGUUACUUGCACAUUUUUUGUUGUUGUUGUUCAUUCCAUACAGUGCGACGUGGAAGAACUCAGGAUUUAUCUAUCUGAUCACAGUUGCAGGCAAGAACAUUCUAAGACCAUCCCCAAGAAAGCUACUUCAGUCAUUUUCAGUUUUCACAGCAUACUGUCGUAAUUCUAGCCAGUUUUCGGAAGAAGCUGAUUGUCUACAAUGGUGGACCUUUAUAACACAUGCCUUCAUGCUUCCUGAACUAGAUGGCCCCCUGUGGGAAUUUCCCACAGCUUUAUGGAUUCUAGGGGUUCCUUAAACCUGCUUUGGAAUGAACCAGGGCACAUUUUUAUUUUGAGGUUGGCAAACAUUUUCUGCAAGGGCGAAAUAAUAAGUGUUUCAGGCUCUGCAGGCCAUGUGGUCUCUGUCACAGCUACUCAACUGUCACUGCAGCACGGAAACAGUCAGACACACAGGAAGUACCAAGUGCAACUGGGUUCCAAUAAAACUUCAGCGACAAAAAUACAGAGUGGAAUUGGGCUCCAGGCCAUAGUUUGUACAUACCUGGAGGGUAAGCAAAAAAUAUAAUUACUUUAAAAUAUGCCUUCAAAUUUAAGGCAUUGCUCAAAUCUCUCAAGUAAAUAAACUUCAACUGUUACAGAAAAUUUACACAACUAAAAAUGAACUCAUAAAGAUGAAAAAAGUCCAUAAAUGAUCAAAAUGUUCAUAUUAUUUUUACAUUUACAGUACACCAGCUUCUCUCUGGAAGUGUGUUAUAUGAUCUGAUUUACGAAAUAACUAAUUAUAAUUGAUUCCAUUUGUUUAA